Xiphophorus hellerii (green swordtail) is the source of this 2283-nucleotide long non-coding RNA. RefSeq lists it as uncharacterized. The record is from RefSeq and is a predicted model, not a curated record. NCBI's taxonomy places the organism in Eukaryota, Metazoa, Chordata, Actinopteri, Cyprinodontiformes, Poeciliidae. The transcript has 2 exons.
CUCUCUCUCUCUCUCUCUCUCUCUCUCUCUCUCUCUCUCUCCUGCUUCCAGAAACAAACUGGGAAUUUUUCCAACAUUCCCAGUUUUUAUUUCCGUCCAGUGAAACCAGGACGGUCCCGCGCACCGCGGGGACGCGCACAGGUUUUAUUUAUUCGUUUUGAUUUUAUUUUCGUUCACGCCUCCCAUCGAGCACUCAUUCACACACACACACACACACACACACACACAAACACACACACACACACACACCUCGUGAAGCAGCAUGUUACACCGCGGACACACCCACCAUUAAUGCACAGCCAUAUUUUUCCUGCAUGAUAAACAUCCAGAUAUUUGUUUUAUUUUGACAAUAAUUUUGCUUAAAUUAAAUUUUAUUUUCUAUUUGGAUUUUUUCUUUUUAUCUUUAAACUUAUUAAAUCUUUAAAUCAUCAUAAAGUUUCAGGUUUUUAACAGGUUUUCGAUCUAAAACUGGAUUUUCAUCCGUUUUCAUGUAUUUUUAAAGGUUCGUGCUGCAGCCGAAUCGGAACCGAACCACGCUGCGGGGAUCCGGACUCAGAGAACCGGAUCAGUCCCGAUCAAAGCUGAUUCUAACGGGCUUGUUAAAUCCAGGCCAGUCGGUCGAUUUUAUUCGAUCCCUUUGCACAGAUUCCGCAAAUCCUCCCGCAAAUCCUCCCGCAAAUCCUCCCGCAGCUUCACCGCCAUCAACCCAUCAAACGGUCCGGACGGGUUCAACUGAGUCCUGAUUCUUUUCCUCCUGAAUCUGAACAAAAGGACACGGAUUCGUUCGGACUGAAUAAUUCAGUUUUUCUCUUCCACAGUCACGCACGGGCUCACGGGCGCGCGCACAGCCUCCUCCACGGCGCCGUUACGCAACAGAAACAGAACCAGGUUCGGUUCGGAGGUCUGAGGCGGUCAGCCGCAGCCUGCGGGGACCCGGUUCGGUUCUGCAGCCGAACCGAGCCGGCAGGCCCGGCACGGCCCGCUCAGCACAGAGCAGCUAGAUGAUGAUUUAAAUUUAGAUUCAAAAUCAUCUUUUUAUCCGGACAGUCGCACUGCGGCGGGACACCGACUAAACCCUGGAAUCCACCGUCUAAUAUCUGGAUUCUACCUGUUAUUUACCACCGCGUCAUCGAACGAACUGAAAUGCAUCUUCGAUCAGUUUUAAAAAAUAAAAUAAUAAUUCAAUCAAGAUCGAAGCAGAUUUUAAUUUUCACAUUUUUAAGGUUUUUAUGAGAAAUUCCGCAGCAAAACAGCCUGGGACAAACCGAGGAGGAGGAGGAGGAGGAGGAAGGACGGAGUAAAGAGGAGGAGGGAUGGAGGGGGGCAUCCCCCUUGUUAACACACACACACACACACACACACACACACACACACACACAGUCUAAAUGUGAAGUGAAUCCCGGCUGGAGCCAAACUGCAGGAAACUAAACGCCAAUAUUUCAUUUUAAAAUAAAAACUGGAAUCAGGUCUGGAGCGAAACCAAACCAGAUGGAAGAGUUUCCUGAGCGCGCGGGAGAAACGAGCAAAAAUGGGACCGGAACCGAUUUUAAACAGAAAAGAUUCAACAGAGAAGAAACGGAAAGUUUCCGCUCACCGACGUGAAGAGCCAGCAGGACUGUGAGGAACCUGGAGCUCCAGCUUUCUCCCAUCCUCCGCGCCGCGUCUCCGCAUCAGAGCUCAGAGUCACAAAGUUGGAGAGCCGCAGAGGAGGAGCCGCACAUUCCCCGCAAAAAACACAAACAGGCGCAAACAGAAAAUCCACCGCGGCGGAGCCCCGCUGCUGGCCGGCCGCUCCUCUUCCUCCUCUGCCUCCUCUUCCUCCCGCUGGAUCGUCCCUCCUCUGCAGAACUCUGCGGGUUGGUGCCGAUCCGCUCCGCUCCGCUCCAGCUCGCACUCCGCUUUACGCGUCCCGAGUGAGAAAAGAAAAGACAGAGAGAAAGCUCCUCCCUCCAUCCAUCCUCCCUCUUUCCCUCCAUCCAUCCCUCCAUCCAUCCAUCCCUCCAUCCAUCCUCCCUCUUUCCCUCCAUCCCUCCAUCCAUCCAUCCAUCAUCAUCAUCCUCAUAUUUUAGGAUCGUUUCCUUCCUUUGGUUUAUUUUCAGGACUUGAUGACUAAAAUGUUCUGACUGAAAUAAACAGAUGAAUCACAAACUAAAAUAACAAAAUGUGUUAAUUUAUGACAAACAUUAUAAAAAACUUAAACGUUCAUUUAAAUAAUAAAUUAGAUUGGAAAUAAAUCAGAUUUUUGCUUUUAGAAUUAAAAUGAUUCAAAUAUUUUAAUUUUCA